This is a non-coding RNA of Myodes glareolus (Bank vole), 987 nucleotides long. The record is from RefSeq and is a predicted model, not a curated record. NCBI's taxonomy places the organism in Eukaryota, Metazoa, Chordata, Mammalia, Rodentia, Cricetidae.
GUUAUGGGCCAAAACUUUUGGUAAAUAUUAACUCUCAUUUUACUACUUUCCUCAUUGGCCCCAGAAACGAAAGUUCAGACUUCAUGUAGAUAAAUCCAAAGUCACACGCGAUGGGAGGCGAGGUCAGAAAUGCAAUAUCAGCUUGAUUGUUCAAGUUGUGAUCGUCUUUAGAGAAAAAAUACGAAAAUCUACCUCUUGCUCGAUAUUAUGAGAGUGUAUUGAGGUCAUUCGUCUUUAGGAAGUCCCUAGGUCUACGAUGCAGGUCCACGCGGGGACUUCAAGGCCUUCUCUAGUCACCUAAUCAGAUGGAAAUCCUCUCUAGAUGCUUCAUCUCAGCUUUCGGAAGGCAAGAGAGGGCUCCUCAGAGUUCGGAAAGGAGGGAGGAAUGUGGGAAUGAAUUUGAAACACUUUAUGAAGCGAGCAGCAAGAAAUACGUAAUCUCUAGGGGUCUUAGCAUCUGUGCCGUCAGAAGGUGCCCCUCAGUGUCACUGCCCUGAAUGCUAGAAGAAUAGCAUUCCAGAUGUGACGGUGGCAGUGUUGGUGGGUGCUCCUCAGUGCUGCCUGGACUAGCCUUGAUCUCCCAGGAUGAAGGAAUCUUCCUCUCUCAGCCUCCUGAACAUCUGGGUCUCCAGGUGUAACCACUAUGCCUUAAAGUUGCCUGAUGGUUUCACAUAUCACUAAAAAUGAAAUGGAAAUGCAGCCUCUGGCCCUGAUGAGAUCCCCGUCUUCACCUACAUCUUGGCUCAUGCCUGCUUCCAUUGGUUUUCUUUCUAAUCAGCAAAUCCCAGUCUCUUCCCUAAACUGCGUUACCUGCUUUGCCCUCUGCCUCACCUCCAGCUUUUCCUGUCAGUCUCUCCUCAAAUGUCACCUCCUCAGAGGUCUGUAGAGGCCUGUCUUCCCUGUUCCUCGAGGCCAAAGCACAGGAUGCAAGAAAUAUUUACGCUAACCAGCUUAGCUUCCCCUGCUCAAUUCUGCCAGCCAGAGGGA